CCUACGGGUGGCCGCAGUGAGGAAUAUUGGUCAAUGGGCGCGAGCCUGAACCAGCCAAGUCGCGUGAGGGAGGACGGCCCUACGGGCUGUAAACCUCUUUUGCCGGGGAGCAACAGGCGUCACGUGUGGCGCCACUGAGAGUACCCGGAGAAAAAGCAUCGGCUAACUCCGUGCCAGCCGCCGCGGUAAUACGGAGGAUGCGAGCGUUAUCCGGAUGUAUUGGGUUUAGAGGGUGCGUGGGCGGACUGUUCAGUCAGUGGUAAAAUUGAGGGGCACAACCCCUGCCCGCCAGUGAAACGGGCGCUCUUGAGGGGAAGAGAAGUAGGCGGAAUGCGUGGUGUAGCGGUGAAAUGCAUAGAU
This 360-nucleotide ribosomal RNA is filed under the name uncultured bacterium. RNAcentral's name for it is "partial 16S ribosomal RNA". It matches the Rfam family "Bacterial small subunit ribosomal RNA", at positions 338 to 695 of the family's 1533-position model. The record is from RNAcentral.